This is a long non-coding RNA of Juglans regia (Persian walnut), 742 nucleotides long. RefSeq lists it as uncharacterized. The transcript has 2 exons. Lineage: Eukaryota; Viridiplantae; Streptophyta; Magnoliopsida; Fagales; Juglandaceae. The record is from RefSeq and is a predicted model, not a curated record.
CUUACCAAGUCUUAAAACGCUUUAUCACUGUACCCCCUUCUCCACUUCAACCAUCUUCCCCGAGCCUGUGCACUGCCGUCCCUUCCCACAUUAUGCCUCUACCGAGACGUCGACGUCGCCGUCGCCGCCUAGCCUAGCAAGUGACCGUCUCUCUCUUUCUCAAUCUCUCUGUUCAUCUCUCUCGUGCUCUUUCUCUUUCUCUCUCUCCAGGUAUCACAGCAAUUCAUGGAGCUUUUCUGAGAUGGCUAGCCGAACACUGAGUUGGGACACAUAAUUGGGUCAGUUCUAUCACGAUGGUACUCUCCAGGUUUUGUGGGUAAAUAUUCAUGUAAGUUGGGAUAUGAGUUAUGAAAUGAUGAAACAACCAUCUGCAUAGUUUAGGUUUUAGUGCAAGAAGAUUGAUAGGAAAUAGAUCACCAGUAUGCAAAUUAGAGGAGAUGAACCAUGUGUUUGAGGGCUAUUUUGCAUAAAUGGGUUAUACACUUUACAGCUUACUCACACCAUUUUAUAGCAUUUAUUUUGUUUGAGUACAAUGUUUUUUUUUUUCUUUUUUUUUUUUAAAUUUUGUAGAAGAGUAUAUCAACUUAUAGUGAGCUUCAUAAAACUUGAUGAAGUCCAUCUUGAAGAAAAUCCCAUUCUCUUGUUGUGGAAGCCAAAGAAACAAAUGAAGGAUAUAUGAUUUUAUAUUGUGUGAUUCAUUGCAGCAGAAUGUGCUGCCUAAAUAGUUUGAGAUUUAUAUUGA